GGAAACAAAUACUGCAUGAGGAGGCAAAAAGAAGAUGGGCCAGAAAAAUACAGCUGUACUCUUAAAAGAGAAAUUUUCAUCCAUAUCAUCUGGUUGCCAGAGGUGACAUUUUCUGCAGCUGAGGUGCCUGAUGUCAUGGGAGGUGGCUGUGGAGUACUCCGAGUGUUUCUGAUUCACGUUUCUUCUGUUUAUUUGCCAUCAAGGUCACCAUGUCUCUUACCCAGGGUUUGGCUCUUACUUUAGCUGGAGCUUUCAAGAAAAUGUUAGUUGCAUCUUUCCUUUCUGGGAAAAUUGCUGUACAAAGUCAACUGAAACUGCCUGAAAUUCAUCUAGGAUUGAGCUAGGAAUUAAAAAGGGAUAUGAAAGUUUGCUCUGAA
Corvus hawaiiensis (hawaiian crow) is the source of this 377-nucleotide long non-coding RNA. RefSeq lists it as uncharacterized. The transcript is spliced from 2 exons. NCBI's taxonomy places the organism in Eukaryota, Metazoa, Chordata, Aves, Passeriformes, Corvidae. The record is from RefSeq and is a predicted model, not a curated record.